UGGCUCGUUUAAUUUUGAUAAAAUUUUGACAAAAUAUUUACUUUGACUCUUUAACAAAAACGUAAAAAUUUCAAAAAUUUUGAACCAACCAUUUUAUCAGAAAAAUUACACUGGUUAUAUAGCAGUUUGACAAACACCAAUUUUGAUCACCGAGAAGCUUAAUAUUCCCUUUACAACACAACGUAGUUAAAACGUUUAGCUGACUUUACAGAGUUAUCUCCCUGUAGUGUUAGGUACCACCUUAAGUUA
RNAcentral lists this long non-coding RNA (249 nucleotides) under Mytilus galloprovincialis (Mediterranean mussel). The record is from RNAcentral. Lineage: Eukaryota; Metazoa; Mollusca; Bivalvia; Mytilida; Mytilidae.